Molecule: long non-coding RNA, 1008 nt
Filed under: Schizosaccharomyces pombe (fission yeast)
Lineage: Eukaryota; Fungi; Ascomycota; Schizosaccharomycetes; Schizosaccharomycetales; Schizosaccharomycetaceae
Source: RNAcentral
GAUGAUGGGCUGUUGUCCAAUUUGGUGUCAUUUGUACUUUGCCAAAUUAGCCGUGCAGUCCACAAGUCGUCAUUUGCACUCGUAGUGAGAGUAGAGAGAGCAGAGAGAGCAGAGAGAGCGGGUAGUUGACGCUCCUUGGAAGAAUUGCAAGCCUCCUCACUGGUAGCCUCACUGGCAGCCUCAACGAUGAUUGGCUUAUCCUUUUUCUCGUCCUGAACGAAAGAGCUGGGUUCAUAGACGACGAUAUCAUCGUCUUUACAAGUUUCGUCUCUGUAUCGACAUUCCUUGAAAUGUUGAACGAUCCUUUCUACAUUAUCAAAUUGAGUUCCACAUUGACAAGUAAAGCAUCCGGCGAUAUCUCUAGCAGUUUUUGAAGCGACUUUAGCAAUUUCUGAAGCGACGACCAUGGCAGUAGAAAUGUGAAAAAAAAAAAAAAAAAAAAAAAAAAGGAUACCAAAGAUAACCAUAUUUUAUAAUUGACGAGCAGGUUGUGUAGCAUUGACAGCGCCAGCAAUAACACCACAAAUCAUAGGAGGAAAAAUGGGAAGAAUCCAAGCAGGAGAUGCGGUUUCAAUGGUAUAUACAUGAUUGUUGAAAAUUGUGAAAAAAGCACUUACACAGUAUAUAAAAGCUACUGCAACAAAAAUGUAAUAAAGAAUUCGAAUCACCCAUACCAUCCACUCGCCCGUAUCAGCAUAGGCGUAUAUGGCAAGCAUGUCGAUGAAAGUGGAUAACGAAAGAAGACAAGUAGCAAUGAAAAGCUUUUCCAAAUGAUGGUUCCAUGAAUCUUUAAUAGUUGAAGGAUAUUUAAUAAAACGAAAAAGCAUACACGAUCCAAAGAGAGUUAAUAAAACGAUUUGAAGAAUGUAAACAAUUUUGCCAAUUGUAUUAAGACCAUAGAAACGAAAGGGGAAAGAACCAAUGAUCAAGCCAACACCACCAGUUGCCAUAGUACACGCAAACCAAGACCAUGUAAAAUGCUUUAAUCGUUUACUAAGAGGAACAUGA